RNAcentral lists this ribosomal RNA (252 nucleotides) under uncultured bacterium. RNAcentral's name for it is "partial 16S ribosomal RNA". It matches the Rfam family "Bacterial small subunit ribosomal RNA", at positions 524 to 776 of the family's 1533-position model. The record is from RNAcentral.
UACGGGGGGGGCAAGCGUUGUUCGGAAUUACUGGGCGUAAAGAGCGCGCAGGCGGUCGUUCAAGUCGAGUGUGAAAGCCCCCGGCUCAACUGGGGAGGGUCACUCGAUACUGAUCGACUUGAAGGCAGGAGAGGGAAGCGGAAUUCCGGUGUAGUGGUGAAAUGCGUAGAUAUCGGGAGGAACACCAGUGGCGAAGGCGGCUUCCUGGCCUGUUCUUGACGCUGAGGCGCGAAAGCUAGGGGAGCAAACGGG